Molecule: long non-coding RNA, 5280 nt
Organism: Carya illinoinensis
Lineage: Eukaryota; Viridiplantae; Streptophyta; Magnoliopsida; Fagales; Juglandaceae
Exons: 5
Source: RefSeq, a predicted model, not a curated record
CCGACCGACCAACUGUAUUUUUCUUCUGACUUGUAUUCCAAUUUUACACUAUCAGCGCCUCGUCCAAUUUUCUGUUACUAAGGCUCGACUCGGUGCCUGGUGUUGAUCCGUCGUUGAGGGACUCGAGGAGGAAGGUGAGCCGUCGGAUCGUGGGGUUGUAGGAGAUACUAGACGCGAUUUUGGAAGCGAAGGUGCUGGGCGAUGAUCACUAUUAUCAUGCGUGGGGUAAACCUUGGGGUUAUGGAUACGAUAGCUCGACGAGGAAUUGGGACGACGUUGUGAGGAGAUGGAGGAGGAGGUUUGCAGGGAAAGAGGUGGUGACGAGAUGGAGAGGUUUUGUGCGCAGAGGUUUCGGUGCUUACAGAGGUUUUUGAAUGAGCCCUGAUCCUUUUGUUCGGUUUCCGUCGGGUUUACUAGGGAACAAGUUGAACAACUUGACAAGAACAAGCAAUGGUCCACGGCAUUUGAUGGUCCUGAUUACCUCCCAGGAAUGGUACCUAUCUUUGGGGGUUGUUCAUUGUGGCUCCAUAGAAGCACGGAGGUGGCGGAGAUGUAGGAGGAGAUUUGCAGGGAAAGAGGUGGUGACGAGAUGGCAUUUAAUUUUCUCUGUAAAUUAUAUUGUACAUGAUGGUGUGAAUCUAUUUUAUGCAAGCAUGUGGAGGCUAAGAUGGCGUUCAAAUUUGGGUAAAUGGAUGAUAGCAAAGGCUUUGAGAGGAGCAUUUUCCUGGCCGCCCCUGUCCACUGGUUUGUUUAAGCUUUGGGGGUGACACUUUGAAGAGGGUGGGAUAGUUGGAUGUGUAACCAAGUGGAGGGAAGUUAGACAGAAGCAUAAAUCGUGCAACCUACAACUUGAAGAGGUGAGAUGAUUUUCUGCCCUGUUUUCUUAUAAAGAGAGGAAUCCAAGAUGUGUACAAUUUCAAAAAAAAAAAAAUCCGCUGUAGUUUUAGCUCUACUUCUUCCUCUAUUUGAAUAAAUUUUAAUUUUGUUUAAGCCUUCAUUUUUACGUGUUAAACCAGUAGAGGUUAGUAUGUAUUUUCAAAUAAAAGUUCAUAAAUCAUUGCUAAUUUGUUUCUUUAAGAGUAAAAAUUUCACCUGUGGCUUUACAUGUAGACUGCUACUUUGGAGGAAUUGACUCAGAAUUUUAUGAUGUUUUCAUUUCCUAAUUACUAUUGUCUCUGAUCAGAAAAAUUUUGAUUGCCUUGAAUAGUGUGAUGUCUCACUCUCAAUUACAUUAGAUUUAUGAUAAGUGCUUCCAUCAUGAUAUGGUUGUAGAGUGUUGGAUCUUGCAACGAUCCUACAAAUCCAAUAUGCAAAUCACUGUGAUCAUAUUAUUUUUUUAAGUUGAUUCUUAAAGCACUGCAAUCAUAUUAUUGAAAAAAAAAAAAGCAAGAAAGAAAAAUUACUGUGAUGAUAGUCUCUAUGUGCAUUGUGGGAGAUGGAAGGUACCUAAUGAUGUUUUCAAAUAAGAACACAACCCUGCCUCUAAUCAUUAUUACCAUUCACAAUCUUUCAUGCUCCCACUACAUAAGAAGUGGACUGCCACUUCAUAUGCAAUAAGGUACUCAACAAGGAAAUUCAGAUUAUAGCAACUGGUGCUCAAGUUGCUGAUGUCUUGAAUGAGGGCUUAACAACUACAAGAUUUUCCUUCCUUUGUGACAAGCUUAUGGUUCAGCCUCUCCCUAUUAGCUUGCGGGGCUAUGUUAACCAUAGUGAUUCUUAAGUCAAUGACUUAUCUCCCAGCCAAGAUUCAAGCCAUCACAUUCAAAGCUCAUGUUCGAUACUUUUAAACGAUGAUCAUACUGGCACCAAAUCUGCUGUUACAUUAUUGUUUCCUUUCGUAGAAUAUUUGUACAUCCAGCUGUGUACAGGUUAAUGUAUUCAUAUGACUGCUAGCUAUAUAUAAUCUCUCGCACGUGUGAAUGUAUAUAUAUUUAAACACCACCAACAUAUCAAUGAAAUUAUACAUUUUUUCUAUCCAUUAUUUGAUUUCUUACAGAAAGGACGUGCAUUGAUGAACUUAAGCCGAUCACCCUCAAUCCACUUCUAAAUGUUUAUCCACACCUCCAUGUAAGAAUUAUCAUUUUAGAAUUCUCUAGAUGAUAAUGACGAGAACUGAUGAAAGGUGUAGGUGAGAAUUUUGUUUUAUAUUUCUUAGUUGAAGCAAAAAGUACUUUGUUUUUAGUGCUUGAUUGAGAAAAUUUGUGGGGCAGUAAGAUAUUACCAGUAUUGCUCAUAUUCAUCAUGAUUUUACUUCACAAAUAUCUCAUCCUUCAAGCCUUCAGAAAAGUUGAUCCGAUAAUCUUGAGAAGGGUUUAGACUUAUAGGUUUGGUGGCAGGUCUAUUUUUGUAUCUUUAGAUAUCAUCAUUCAGUUUUAUUUGAUUCAAUAAAUCUUCUUAUUACUUUUUAAAAAAAGAUUUUGAGAAGUAUAUGCUUCAUAUGAUGGAAGUUGGGGAUGCAUGUUGGGUUAAAGAGUGUUUAGGAGCUAAUCAUUUGAUCCUUAACUUCUGCACCAGAUGAAUUUCUACCAUCUUCUGGAAUUCCUUGAGGAUGAGCCUUCAAUAUUGAUUUUGUAAUUGGCUUGUAAUGGGCACUUUAGUUAUCUUGGAAGACCCUUGGUACAGAGUAAUCGAUUGUAUGUGUGGGACCUUUAGAUAACUGGAUAUACCUUUCUCUUCCUUUGGUGGAGUUAUUAUUGGUGUUUUGGAUUGAAUACAUUUCUUGUUCCGUAUACAUUUCCUGUCAAACUUGACUAGGAACUACAAAGGGUUUAAUUUGUGAUUGUAGAAUAGAAGAAUUUAUGCGUUAUGAGUCUGCUCCAGUAGCAACUGUGCAUUGUGUGAAUUGGUUUCUAAACCCAUUCUUUAUUAUCUACUUAUUUAUAAAAAAAAAAAAAAAAAAAAAAAAAAAAAAAAAAAAAAAAGAAGAAGAAAAAGAAGAAGAAGAAGAAGCUAUUCUUUACAAUCUAAUCAGGCAUUAGUGCUUGUUGAUGGUUGCCAGUUAGAUUUUACAUUCUAUGCAAUGAGGAUGAUCUGAUACGAGUGUGCAUGUAUUUAUGUGUACAUUCUUUUGGUCAAUGUAUAAGUAUUGAACACUUAACCUGCUUUGACAUUGUGUGGCAGUUACUUAUGCUUUAAUGUUAUGUAAGUGCUUCAUAAUCAUGAUGGACACUGAUUCUUUGUGGGUUGUUUCACACCAUCUAGGAUUUGGACUUGCCUUUGGAUGAUAAGUUUCCCAAAAUAUUUAUCAAAAAAAAAAAAAAUAGUUUCCAAAAAGUUUAAUUAAGUAGUUUGAAUAAAUUGGCAGUGUGUUGCUGUCAGUUAUAAAUGUGAUACUGUUACUGAGAGUGGACAUUUACCGUUUUGCUGUUAGUUCAUAGAAUGUUGUCUAAAAGGAGGAAAAUGGUAUUAAUGAUAGGUAUAUUUGCUCUUUUUAUGAUUCCAUAGGAUUACAUUCUUUUGGGUUUGACAGUAGUGCAAUCUUUUUUGUUGAAAUGUAAGAUUCUGCCACUUCUAUAGUUUCUUCCCUUUCUUGAUUAGUAUAAUAAUUUAAUUUAAAAAACACAAAAGGUGCAUUCCAUGUAUGAACAGGUGUGUGAAAGUCAUCUAGCUAGAACUUUUUUUUGAUAGCUAGAAAUUGGAAAAGAUUCAAAUAAUCAUAUGGGAAGUAAGCCCAUCAUUCCUUUCGCUCUAAAUAUACCAUAUGAGGAGGCAUGUAAGAAUCAUUUUUCACACUGCUUAGAUGAGUGAACUACCACCUAAUCCUCUACAUAAGUAAAAAAGGUCCACUAUGCUUUUGGGGUUGACUGUGGAAUCCCUUUCGCGAAAGAGUUCGGUUACCUGCAGUUCCCUUAUAUCUUCGAUCUGCUUUUGGCAAAUUUCAGGUGGGUCUUAACAACAUUAAAGAUACAGAUUUUGUGAAUGUCAUAAUACAAUCUUUGAUGAGAGUUACUUCUUUAAGAAAUUUUUUCCUUAUCCCUGAAAAUUAUAGACAUGGCAAAUCUCUACUUUGUUCAUCGAUUUGGAGAACUCACACGAAAGAUUUGGCAUACACGGAACUUCAAAGGACAGGUUUGUUUCUAGUGAUUUCCAUAAUCAAUUAAUUUUUCCUGACAUGAGAUUCAUCUUAAUCUUUUUUUUUUUUUUUAAUGUUUACAAGUGAGCCCACGAGUUUCUGCAGGUAGUUAUGAAAGACCGUAAAAAUGAUUUCGGAUAGGUGCAGGAUAGGUGCACGGUCAGACCCGGUUGAAUUGAUGUCAUGGUUUCUUAACACACUUCACAAGGAUCUUAAAACAUAGAAAAAUAAAAGCAUUAUCUAUGAUUGCUUUCAGGUUGUCUAUUUUAUCCUUAUUUUCUUGUUGUUCACUUUGUUGUUUAUGGUUGGAUUCACUGGAUUUCACCAGUGCUUAUCCAAAAUGUACAAUAUACUUGAUAUGGCGAAUUGGAGGUUGUGAAAGAGAUGCAAAACAAAGCUGUCAUUGAGAAGCAAGAAAAUGGUGACUGCCAGAAUUUUGUUUCUAAAUUCGCAGGUGGUGGAACUGAACAUGAAGUGGUUGUGACUGAAACUUCCAGAGUGCCAUACUUAGUGCUUGGACUGCAUUUGCCCCAACCUCCACUUUUCAAAGAUGUCAUGGAGAAAAACAUAAUACCCCAGGUAGAUUUUGAUUUCUUUGUUAGUAUGAUUGCAACAUUAAUGGAAUAUAUAUUGAAAAAAGUUGAGUUAUAAUUGUGGGGUGAAGGGCAGAGGAGGGGGGCUGUUUAAAUAGUGUUCUCUAUUUUUUGAGUAGUAUUCAGAUCGACUUUGAUAGGUGGGUAAAAGUUAGAGAGCCAAUAGUAGUGCUCUAGGGAGAUUUGGAAUUGAUGAGUUCUUUGAAGGUCCUGUUCUGUUCUCAAAAAAUAACACAAAAAGAAAAUGGAAGAUAGAGAGGGUUAAUUUGGUCUGAAAAAAUAAUUGUGCAAAUUUCAUUCCUUGUUAACAUAUUCUCGAUAUUUGUUUUGUCCCAUGUUACUUCAGUUUCCCAUCAGGUUGAAAUAAUUGAUUUGCUUAUUUAUAUUCCAAGUACCAAAGCUCCUUUACUUUUCAAAACAUUACGUCCCGCAGACUAAGCCGCAGUUGUAACCAGGUUUUGCAUAUCUUCCAUGUAUCCAGGCACAAAACCAGCAACAAAAUAGAACUUUUCAUGAUUGUAAUUUAUUAUUUUUAGUUUGUAACUUAUUAUUUGUAAACAAUUUUAUUUUAUCAUGGAUAUAGUUCAUAUAUAUUAUCAAGCUAUUUUCUUUCAA